RNAcentral lists this ribosomal RNA (685 nucleotides) under Bacillus mycoides. RNAcentral describes it as "bacterial SSU rRNA". It matches the Rfam family "Bacterial small subunit ribosomal RNA", at positions 35 to 702 of the family's 1533-position model. The record is from RNAcentral. Lineage: Bacteria; Bacillati; Bacillota; Bacilli; Caryophanales; Bacillaceae.
GCUGGCGGCGUGCCUAUACAUGCAAGUCGAGCGAAUGGAUUGAGAGCUUGCUCUCAAGAAGUUAGCGGCGGACGGGUGAGUAACACGUGGGUAACCUGCCCAUAAGACUGGGAUAACUCCGGGAAACCGGGGCUAAUACCGGAUAACAUUUUGAACGCAUGGUUCGAAAUUGAAAGGCGGCUUCGGCUGUCACUUAUGGAUGGACCCGCGUCGCAUUAGCUAGUUGGUGAGGUAACGGCUCACCAAGGCAACGAUGCGUAGCCGACCUGAGAGGGUGAUCGGCCACACUGGGACUGAGACACGGCCCAGACUCCUACGGGAGGCAGCAGUAGGGAAUCUUCCGCAAUGGACGAAAGUCUGACGGAGCAACGCCGCGUGAGUGAUGAAGGCUUUCGGGUCGUAAAACUCUGUUGUUAGGGAAGAACAAGUGCUAGUUGAAUAAGCUGGCACCUUGACGGUACCUAACCAGAAAGCCACGGCUAACUACGUGCCAGCAGCCGCGGUAAUACGUAGGUGGCAAGCGUUAUCCGGAAUUAUUGGGCGUAAAGCGCGCGCAGGUGGUUUCUUAAGUCUGAUGUGAAAGCCCACGGCUCAACCGUGGAGGGUCAUUGGAAACUGGGAGACUUGAGUGCAGAAGAGGAAAGUGGAAUUCCAUGUGUAGCGGUGAAAUGCGUAGAGAUAUGGA